CCUACGGGAGGCAGCAGUGAGGAAUAUUGGUCAAUGGGCUUACGCCUGAACCAGCCAAGUCGCGUGAGGGAAGACUGCCCUAUGGGUUGUAAACCUCUUUUGUCAGGGAGCAACGCGGGCUACGUGUGGCCGGACUGAGAGUACCUGAAGAAAAAGCAUCGGAUAACUCGGUGCCAGCAGCCGCGGAAAUACGGAGGAUGCGAGCGUUAUCCGGAUUUAUUGGGUUUAAAGGGUGCGUAGGCGGGAUGACAAGUCAGCGGUAAAAUCGCGGGGCUAACCCUCGCUCCGCCGUUGAAACUGGCGGUCGUGAGUGGGCGAGAGGUAGGCGGAAGGCGUGGUGUAGCGGUGAAAUGCAUAGAUAUCACGCAGAACCCCGAUUGCGAAGGCAGCAUACCGGCGCCCAACUGACGCUGAUGCACGAAAGCGUGGGUAUCGAACAGGAUUAGAUACCCCAGUAGUC
Molecule: ribosomal RNA, 460 nt
Filed under: uncultured bacterium
Lineage: Bacteria
Description: partial 16S ribosomal RNA
Rfam family: Bacterial small subunit ribosomal RNA
Source: RNAcentral